Molecule: ribosomal RNA, 972 nt
Filed under: Micrococcus sp.
Lineage: Bacteria; Bacillati; Actinomycetota; Actinomycetes; Micrococcales; Micrococcaceae
Description: bacterial SSU rRNA
Rfam family: Bacterial small subunit ribosomal RNA
Source: RNAcentral
AGCGAAAGUGACGGUACCUGCAGAAGAAGCACCGGCUAACUACGUGCCAGCAGCCGCGGUAAUACGUAGGGUGCGAGCGUUAUCCGGAAUUAUUGGGCGUAAAGAGCUCGUAGGCGGUUUGUCGCGUCUGUCGUGAAAGUCCGGGGCUUAACCCCGGAUCUGCGGUGGGUACGGGCAGACUAGAGUGCAGUAGGGGAGACUGGAAUUCCUGGUGUAGCGGUGGAAUGCGCAGAUAUCAGGAGGAACACCGAUGGCGAAGGCAGGUCUCUGGGCUGUAACUGACGCUGAGGAGCGAAAGCAUGGGGAGCGAACAGGAUUAGAUACCCUGGUAGUCCAUGCCGUAAACGUUGGGCACUAGGUGUGGGGACCAUUCCACGGUUUCCGCGCCGCAGCUAACGCAUUAAGUGCCCCGCCUGGGGAGUACGGCCGCAAGGCUAAAACUCAAAGGAAUUGACGGGGGCCCGCACAAGCGGCGGAGCAUGCGGAUUAAUUCGAUGCAACGCGAAGAACCUUACCAAGGCUUGACAUGUUCUCGAUCGCCGUAGAGAUACGGUUUCCCCUUUGGGGCGGGUUCACAGGUGGUGCAUGGUUGUCGUCAGCUCGUGUCGUGAGAUGUUGGGUUAAGUCCCGCAACGAGCGCAACCCUCGUUCCAUGUUGCCAGCACGUCGUGGUGGGGACUCAUGGGAGACUGCCGGGGUCAACUCGGAGGAAGGUGAGGACGACGUCAAAUCAUCAUGCCCCUUAUGUCUUGGGCUUCACGCAUGCUACAAUGGCCGGUACAAUGGGUUGCGAUACUGUGAGGUGGAGCUAAUCCCAAAAAGCCGGUCUCAGUUCGGAUUGGGGUCUGCAACUCGACCCCAUGAAGUCGGAGUCGCUAGUAAUCGCAGAUCAGCAACGCUGCGGUGAAUACGUUCCCGGGCCUUGUACACACCGCCCGUCAAGUCACGAAAGUUGGUAACACCCGAAGCCGG